AUUUCAUGGGGUUGCUUAUCGGUGUUUUAAGGUACCAUCCUGGGAUGUCUGGGCGGGGCGGGUAGCUUCAUCAUCGGGCCGCUCAUCGUCCGGUCCCGGGCAGCCAACCACACCGGGCACCACAACGGCAGCGGGUUUCUUUUCGAUGAUGCAGUCCGGUUGUCUAGAAACGAAACAGAAUGGAAGACUGAAAGGGACGAGAUUAUGAUUUUGAUGUACACUGAGUUUGCCCUGAGCGCAGCCCUGUUCCUGGCCACCGUUAUCUA
Molecule: long non-coding RNA, 266 nt
Organism: Branchiostoma floridae (Florida lancelet)
Lineage: Eukaryota; Metazoa; Chordata; Leptocardii; Amphioxiformes; Branchiostomatidae
Exons: 4
Source: RefSeq, a predicted model, not a curated record